ACAUAUUAAUAAUACCAUUGUGUUAUUGAUUUAUUUUAUGUUUUGGUUUUGGGGGGAGAAGCCCACAAAAAUUAUAUAAGUAUUUUACUUAAAUUAAUUACAUAAGCCUGAAAUUAGCUAUUGUUAGGGAGUUUGUUAUAAAGUAAUUUAGAUAUAAAGAAAAAUAAAUAUACUAUUUUAUAACAGCGGCAAUAAAGAAAACUAAAUUUAAAUUUAUUUAUGCUAAAAUGAGUAUUAACUUGCCAAUUAAAUAUGUAUUAAUUAAAAAUAACCUAUAAAUAUACUUUACCUAAGAAUAAGUAAAAAUAAGGAACUCGGCAAAUAAAGGCUUCGCCUGUUUAUCAAAAACAUGGCUCUUUGAAUUACUUUUUAUAGGGAGUCGUACCUGCCCAGUGAAGUUUUAACGGCCGCGGUACCCUAACCGUGCAAAGGUAGCAUAAUCAUUUGCCUUAUAAUUAAAGGCUUGUAUGAAUGGUUUGACGAAGCGUUACUGUCUAUUUUUUAUUUUAUAGAAUUUGACUUCCAGGUGAAGAGGCCUGGGUAUAAUUGAAAGACAAGAAGACCCUAUCGAGCUUAAGAAUAAAUUAAAAAUAGAUUAUAAGUUAAAAUCACUUAUUAGUUAAUUUCUUUGGUUGGGGCGACCUAGGAACAAAUAAAGCUUCCUAUAUAUCUUUAAUUAAUAAAUAAUGAUCCAGUAAGGCUGAUCAGUAGAAUUAGUUACCGUAGGGAUAACAGCAUAAUCUCCCUUAAGAGACCUAAUCGAAAGGGGGGGUUGUGACCUCGAUGUUGGACUAUAAUAUCCUAAAGAUGUAGAAGUCUUU
This 821-nucleotide ribosomal RNA is filed under the name Jagora dactylus. Its description in RNAcentral is "partial 16S ribosomal RNA". It matches the Rfam family "Bacterial large subunit ribosomal RNA", at positions 1443 to 2566 of the family's 2925-position model. Lineage: Eukaryota; Metazoa; Mollusca; Gastropoda; Pachychilidae. The record is from RNAcentral.